GAUGAAGAACGUAGCGAAAUGCGAUAAGUAAUGUGAAUUGCAGAAUUCAGUGAAUCAUCGAAUCUUUGAACGCACAUUGCGCCCGCCAGUAUUCUGGCGGGCAUGCCUGUUCGAGCGUCAUUUCAACCAUCAAGCCCCCGGGCUUGUGUUGGGGACCUGCGGCUGCCACAGGCCCUGAAAAGCAGUGGCGGGCUCGCUGUCACACCGAGCGUAGUAGAUUUUAUCUCGCUCUGGGCGUGCUGCGGGUUCCGGCCGUUAAACCACCCUUUUAACCCAAGGUUGACCUCGGAUCAGGUAGGAAGACCCGCUGAACUUAAGCAUAUCAAUAAGCGGAGGA
Molecule: unclassified non-coding RNA, 337 nt
Filed under: soil metagenome
Description: partial contains 5.8S ribosomal RNA, internal transcribed spacer 2, and large subunit ribosomal RNA
Rfam family: 5.8S ribosomal RNA (bases 1-120)
Source: RNAcentral